GGCCAGCUGACACAUCCCGGCCAAUCUCCAGCAGACCAUCCCUCCCACCUCCUGGACAGCAUCCAUGUUGAAGUUGCCUUCAACAUGGAUGCUGUCCAGGAGGUGGGAGGGUCUGGGAGGGAGGGUCUGCUGGAGAUUGGCCGGGAUGUGUCAG
Molecule: non-coding RNA, 154 nt
Organism: Pelobates cultripes (western spadefoot toad)
Lineage: Eukaryota; Metazoa; Chordata; Amphibia; Anura; Pelobatidae
Source: the annotation of a GenBank genome assembly